RNAcentral lists this long non-coding RNA (788 nucleotides) under Parus major (Great Tit). Its description in RNAcentral is "lncRNA (ENSPMJG00000004468.1)". The record is from RNAcentral. Lineage: Eukaryota; Metazoa; Chordata; Aves; Passeriformes; Paridae.
GUCAUCAUCAUCAUCAUCAUCGGUGUCAUCGUCAUCAGUGAUGUCACUGACGGCAUCAUCAUUACUGGUGUCAUCGAUGUCAUCGUAUCAUCACCAUCGUCAUUGUCAUUGGUGUCAUCAUCAUCAUCAUCAUCACUGUCAUUGUCAGUCAUUGUCACCCUCACCAUCGUUGGUCAUGGUCACCAUCGUUCAUCAUCAUCAUCCUCACCAUCAUUGGUCAUUGUCACUGUCACCACUGUCAGUCAUGGUCAUCGUUGGUCAUGGUCAUCAUCAUCCAUGGCUGGUCAUGGUCAUCAUCAUCCUCAGCAUCGUUGGUCAUUGUCACUGUCACCACUGUCAGUCUUUGUCAUCGUUGGUCAUCAUCAUCCUCAUCCUCAUUGGUCAUUGUCACUGUCACCAUCAUCGGUCAUUGCUGGUCUUCAUCAUCCUCAUCCUCACCAUCGCUGGUCAUCAUCGUCAUCCUCACCAUGGUUGGUCAUCAUCCUCAUCCUCACCAUGGUUGGUCAUCAUCCUCAUCCUCACCAUGGUUGCCCAUCGUUGGUCAUCGUCACCGUGGCCAUCGUUGCCCAUCCUCACUGUCACCGUCGCCGUCACCACCGCGGCCGCCGCCCUCCCAGAGCCGGGAACGCCGGGAGCGCCAGGAGCCGGCUCCGGCCGCCCCGACAUUCCCAAAAAUCCGCGGGAAUUCCCGGUUUUCCCUCCCGCCCCCGUCCCGGGGCCGAGCGCGAGGAGGACCCGGAAUAACGGAGGAGUCGCGGGAUCGGGAUCUGGAGUUUGUGGUGGGGAAC